GGCAGUGUAGCAUAGUGGUAGUGACUACGGCUCGUAACCGAAAGGUUGCUGGUUCAUUCCCAGCUGGGGCACUGCUG
Non-coding RNA from Megalops atlanticus (tarpon), 77 nucleotides. NCBI's taxonomy places the organism in Eukaryota, Metazoa, Chordata, Actinopteri, Elopiformes, Megalopidae. The record is from the annotation of a GenBank genome assembly.